GUGGGGAAUCUUGCGCAAUGGGCGAAAGCCUGACGCAGCCAUGCCGCGUGAAUGAUGAAGGUCUUAGGAUUGUAAAAUUCUUUCACCGGGGACGAUAAUGACGGUACCCGGAGAAGAAGCCCCGGCUAACUUCGUGCCAGCAGCCGCGGUAAUACGAAGGGGGCUAGCGUUGCUCGGAAUUACUGGGCGUAAAGGGCGCGUAGGCGGAUCGUUAAGUCAGGGGUGAAAUCCCAGAGCUCAACUCUGGAACUGCCCUUGAUACUGGCUGUCUUGAGUUUGGGAGAGGUGAGUGGAACUCCGAGUGUAGAGGUGAAAUUCGUAGAUAUUCGGAAGAACACCAGUGGCGAAGGCGACUCACUGGCCCAAUACUGACGCUGAGGCGCGAAAGCGUGGGGAGCAAACAGGAUUAGAAACCCUUGUAGUCC
RNAcentral lists this ribosomal RNA (425 nucleotides) under uncultured bacterium. RNAcentral describes it as "partial 16S ribosomal RNA". It matches the Rfam family "Bacterial small subunit ribosomal RNA", at positions 354 to 796 of the family's 1533-position model. The record is from RNAcentral.